Molecule: ribosomal RNA, 446 nt
Filed under: uncultured bacterium
Lineage: Bacteria
Description: partial 16S ribosomal RNA
Rfam family: Bacterial small subunit ribosomal RNA
Source: RNAcentral
UCCAGACUCCUACGGGAGGCAGCAGUGGGGAAUAUUGCACAAUGGGGGAAACCCUGAUGCAGCAACGCCGCGUGAAGGAAGACGGUUUUCGGAUUGUAAACUUCUGUUCUUAGUGAAGAAGAAUGACGGUAGCUAAGGAGCAAGCCACGGCUAACUACGUGCCAGCAGCCGCGGUAAUACGUAGGUGGCAAGCGUUGUCCGGAGUUACUGGGUGUAAAGGGAGCGCAGGCGGGAAGCCAAGUCAGCUGUGAAAACUACGGGCUUAACUUGUAGACUGCAUUUGAAACUGGUUUUCUUGAGUGAAGGAGAGGUUGGCGGAAUUCCGAGUGUAGCGGUGAAAUGCGUAGAUAUUAGGAGGAACACCAGUGGCGAAGGCGGUCUGCUGGACAGCAACUGACGCUGAGGCGCGAAAGCGUGGGGAGCAAACAGGAUUAGAUACCCGAGUA